UUAAGCGACUAAGCGUACACGGUGGAUGCCCUGGCAGUCAGAGGCGAUGAAGGACGUGCUAAUCUGCGAUAAGCGUCGGUGAGGUGAUAUGAACCGUUAUAACCGGCGAUUUCCGAAUGGGGAAACCCAGUGUGUUUCGACACACUAUCAUUAACUGAAUCCAUAGGUUAAUGAGGCGAACCGGGGGAACUGAAACAUCUAAGUACCCCGAGGAAAAGAAAUCAACCGAGAUUCCCCCAGUAGCGGCGAGCGAACGGGGAGGAGCCCAGAGCCUGAAUCAGUGUGUGUGUUAGUGGAAGCGUCUGGAAAGGCGCGCGAUACAGGGUGACAGCCCCGUACACAAAAAUGCACAUACUGUGAGCUCGAUGAGUAGGGCGGGACACGUGGUAUCCUGUCUGAAUAUGGGGGGACCAUCCUCCAAGGCUAAAUACUCCUGACUGACCGAUAGUGAACCAGUACCGUGAGGGAAAGGCGAAAAGAACCCCGGCGAGGGGAGUGAAAAAGAACCUGAAACCGUGUACGUACAAGCAGUGGGAGCCUCUUAAUGGGGUGACUGCGUACCUUUUGUAUAAUGGGUCAGCGACUUAUAUUCUGUAGCAAGGUUAACCGAAUAGGGGAGCCGAAGGGAAACCGAGUCUUAACUGGGCGUUAAGUUGCAGGGUAUAGACCCGAAACCCGGUGAUCUAGCCAUGGGCAGGUUGAAGGUUGGGUAACACUAACUGGAGGACCGAACCGACUAAUGUUGAAAAAUUAGCGGAUGACUUGUGGCUGGGGGUGAAAGGCCAAUCAAACCGGGAGAUAGCUGGUUCUCCCCGAAAGCUAUUUAGGUAGCGCCUCGUGAAUUCAUCUCCGGGGGUAGAGCACUGUUUCGGCAAGGGGGUCAUCCCGACUUACCAACCCGAUGCAAACUGCGAAUACCGGAGAAUGUUAUCACGGGAGACACACGGCGGGUGCUAACGUCCGUCGUGAAGAGGGAAACAACCCAGACCGCCAGCUAAGGUCCCAAAGUCAUGGUUAAGUGGGAAACGAUGUGGGAAGGCCCAGACAGCCAGGAUGUUGGCUUAGAAGCAGCCAUCAUUUAAAGAAAGCGUAAUAGCUCACUGGUCGAGUCGGCCUGCGCGGAAGAUGUAACGGGGCUAAACCAUGCACCGAAGCUGCGGCAGCGACGCUUAUGCGUUGUUGGGUAGGGGAGCGUUCUGUAAGCCUGUGAAGGUGGCCUGUGAGGGUUGCUGGAGGUAUCAGAAGUGCGAAUGCUGACAUAAGUAACGAUAAAGCGGGUGAAAAGCCCGCUCGCCGGAAGACCAAGGGUUCCUGUCCAACGUUAAUCGGGGCAGGGUGAGUCGACCCCUAAGGCGAGGCCGAAAGGCGUAGUCGAUGGGAAACAGGUUAAUAUUCCUGUACUUGGUGUUACUGCGAAGGGGGGACGGAGAAGGCUAUGUUGGCCGGGCGACGGUUGUCCCGGUUUAAGCGUGUAGGCUGGUUUUCCAGGCAAAUCCGGAAAAUCAAGGCUGAGGCGUGAUGACGAGGCACUACGGUGCUGAAGCGACAAAUGCCCUGCUUCCAGGAAAAGCCUCUAAGCAUCAGGUAACAUUAAAUCGUACCCCAAACCGACACAGGUGGUCAGGUAGAGAAUACCAAGGCGCUUGAGAGAACUCGGGUGAAGGAACUAGGCAAAAUGGUGCCGUAACUUCGGGAGAAGGCACGCUGAUAUGUAGGUGAAGCGACUUGCUCGUGGAGCUGAAAUCAGUCGAAGAUACCAGCUGGCUGCAACUGUUUAUUAAAAACACAGCACUGUGCAAACACGAAAGUGGACGUAUACGGUGUGACGCCUGCCCGGUGCCGGAAGGUUAAUUGAUGGGGUUAGCGGUAACGCGAAGCUCUUGAUCGAAGCCCCGGUAAACGGCGGCCGUAACUAUAACGGUCCUAAGGUAGCGAAAUUCCUUGUCGGG
RNAcentral lists this ribosomal RNA (1949 nucleotides) under human gut metagenome. RNAcentral's name for it is "bacterial LSU rRNA". It matches the Rfam family "Bacterial large subunit ribosomal RNA", at positions 1 to 1976 of the family's 2925-position model. The record is from RNAcentral.